Molecule: long non-coding RNA, 5305 nt
Filed under: Olea europaea subsp. europaea
Lineage: Eukaryota; Viridiplantae; Streptophyta; Magnoliopsida; Lamiales; Oleaceae
Source: RNAcentral
AAAGAGAAAGCAAAAAGGAAAAGAGAGAAGCAGAAACAAGGAGCUGAAAUUGAAUUUCUGGAUAGGUGAGUUUAGCUCACGGUUUUGAAGUUUUUCUUUAGUUCUUUUGCUUGUUUUAUAAUAUGUUUAAACUAUAAACUUACUUGAGGCUAAGUAUAAGGGUUGUUUAUGAUUUUAUGAUGGCAAAAGAGAGGGGUAAUUGAGUACAAGAACCUGAAAGAAACCAACAGGAAUAGAGAUGUGUUGAUUGAUGAAUUUGGAUGGUUUAAACUUUGANUGUAGACCACAUGGCUGAAGUUGUAGCCAUUCUCCCAAACAGUUCCCAUGUUUCGUCAAUUGUUCUCGUGGAGAUUGACCUGUCGGAUGAUGAAUUCACCAUGCUCUUGAAUGAUGGAAGUAGUCCAGUGUAGAAAAAUCGAAUUUGUGUCUUUUUAUCAAAGCCAUGCCGAGGACACUUCCUUAACAUAUUUUUGAAAUGAUUCCAUGCCUCUUCAAAUGAUUUGGACUCGCCUUGUUGAAUGUAGAGAUUUCAUGUAGCAUUUUUGAUACUUAGUUGGCGAAAAGAACUUAUUGCGGAAUUUGUGGGCUUGCUCGUUCCAACUGGUGAUGCUUGCGACGGCAAAUGAAUCCAGUCAAUCGAGUGCUUGAUCUCGCAAAGUGUGUGGAAACAAUCACAAUCUUAUAGCAUCAUCUGAGAUACCCAGGUACCUAGAGUGUUGGCACAUGUCCAAAAAUUGGGAUAUGUGUGUAUGUGGAUUCUCACUAGCCAUCCCGUGGUAUUGAUGCCCAUUCUGAAAUUGUUGAAUUACAUUUGUUUUCAGCUGGAAGUUCGGUUGCCCAAAUGGAGGAUACAUAAUGCUAGAUUGACUCUGGACCACCAACGGUUCCAUGAAGUCCCCAAGUACCAUAUUCCCUUCAUCUUCAACCCCCGCGCCUUCAUUGAGUUGAAUUAUUGGACUAUUUUGCUCGUUAGCCAUCUGUUGUGCCGCUCUUGCUUCUCUUUGCCUGUGACAAAAUGUGCGUUCAAUCUCUAAAUCAAUGGAAACCAAAUCUCGAUCAGGUGAUCUUUGCAUAUAAGCCCUGAGAUAGCAAAACAACACAAAAUUAAAUUAAAGUAAACAAUAACUAAGUCUAGUAAGCUAACUACUACUAAUCUAAAUAAGUUUGAAUUAGUGUCACAAUAGAUAAAAUUAAACUAAAUUUCAAUCCCCGGCAAUGACGCCAAAAAAUUGUUCACGAAAUUAUUUCUUUCGACUUAAAACCCACCACAAGUGUACGAUUCGUUAACAAGUAGUAAAAUGAAUUAUGAGUCCAAGUAUCGAUCCCACAAGGAUUGAAUUAAUUCAAAUCAACCUAUUAUGACCUUAAUCGAAACACAAAAAUAAGAUUUAUGUAUUGUGAUUUAACUAAGGAAGAUGUGAACUAUGAUGUAAUUAUGAGUGAGAAACUUAUAUCAAAUGCAAAAUGACCUGGACGCAUUCUACGAGAAUUUAUGAAAUUAAUAAAUUUACUAAUGCACUAGGAUCACAAAUUCCCAAACAACACUCGUUCAACUUUUAAUUAUGCAAAUUUGAUACAAAUUCCCACAAUUGAUGAAUCAAUAUUAAUAUUUUAAUUUAGCAAUCUCUCUCGAGUAAUGUCAAACCUACCCCAAUAUGUGAUUCGACUAUAUCUCUAUGACGAAUUAGUACAUACAGGAAUGCAUUAUGAUUUCGUGAUUAUUCAACAAUUCACACAAGGCAUAGAUAUAUAUUUCGAUCUCCUAACGGACCCUAUGAUGAUUUAUACUAUGUCGAGCCUAUUUUCCUUCUUUCGAAUGUAUGAAACAGGCCAUCAAAAUCAUAUAAUUACGUGCACAAUAAUAAUAUGAAAAUAAAAACGUAUAAAUCAUUCAAUUCCGGAACAUGUGCUUAAAUAUGUCAAAUCUCCAAAUUAAAAAUCAAAAGUAGUAUUGCAAGGUUCAUCGAUCUCCUAGCAAUGAAAAAUCUAGCCUAACAUGCUAAAGACCACUCUCUGUCACACCCCAAAUAUAUACAGAUAACCAUACUAAUUCCUAUGUUGAAAUGAUAUUGGUAACUCGAUCUGGACAUAAAAUUUAGAUAUACUUUUUUUUUAAUAAAAUGAAACGAGCAUUUGCACAAUUAUGUCCCUAUUUGUUAACUUCAAAUCACCUAUGAUGAUCAUAUAUUAUAUCAAAAUCAAAGAUCAUUUAACCAUAAUCCAACACGUAUGUUCUAAGGUUAUAAACACAUUUAUAGGCCAUUUCAAAAGUUAUACAAGAUAGGACCCCCCAAAAUACGACACAAUAGAGUGUAAGCUCAAACCAAUAGCCCACAAAAUAACCCUACAGGUCGUCAUCCAUGUACAUUGAUUUUUGGAAUCCCGUAAGAGCUCCAUGUACAUUGAGCUAUGAUAGAAAAUUAGGUUAACUAAAUAUUGGAGAUUGGCUUGAUAAGAAAUGGAAUAUCGAAAAGGUCGAAAAUCGGUAUCGACAAAAGUUCAAGCUUUCUAUUCGGUUGAUUGAGACCACCUUAAACCCUAGAUAGGUAAUUGACAUAUUUGGGACAUGAUACAUAAAGGAACAUGAUCAUGAUGUGAUAAUAUAUGUCUCAUAUGACAUUAUAAAUAUCGAGGUGCGAUUUGAUGAAAUCGGUCGAGAAUGGGGUGUCAAUCGGGUAAGUAAUUAAAUGAACGGUUGAGGAAUUAGUUCUAUGAAAUACUUUGGGAUCUUAGGACAAGUGAAAUGGAUUGUAAACACUUCAAAAUAAGCUGAAGAUACUUGGUUUGUGCCUGCAAAGAUAGAUAUAAAAUCAAAUUUUUUUACUAGUGACCACCUCAUGCUUUUAAUAUUUAUCAUUUUAACACCCAACCUUAAGGCAUCAAUCUCGUGUCCUACUCCUUAAGCACUUAUUCUAGGAUGAAUAUAUAUCUUAUAAUCAUAAAUGGAUCCAAAUAUAAUGGUUGAAAAUCAAGUAUGGCUGCAAUGAAGACACGUCGUGCUUGGCACCUCAUGCUUGGGAUAGUUGUCAUUUUAACACUCAAUCCCUUCAUCCUUAAUAUAUAUAUAUAUAAGUUAAAUAGUCCAAGAGAAAAGUCAAAUAUAGUAGGAAAAGACCACCUCAUGCUAAACACUUGGCUGCGCCCCGCAUUUUCUUAAUCCCUAAGGAAGAGUCACGUCUCCAGCAUCUUGAAGACUUUAUAUACACCUCCUAACAACAUGUUUAGUCUAACAAAUUAUCCCCCAUUGACCACCGAAUGAAAGAGAAAGCAAAAAGGAAAAGAGAGAAGCAGAAACAAGGAGCUGAAAUUGAAUUUCUGGAUAGGUGAGUUUAGCUCACGGUUUUGAAGUUUUUCUAUAGUUCUUUUGCUUGUUUUAUAAUAUGUUUAAACUAUAAACUUACUUGAGGCUAAGUAUAAGGGUUGUUUAUGAUUUUACGAUGGUAAAAGAGAGGGGUAAUUGAGUACAAGAACCUGAAAGAAACCAACAGGAAUAGAGAUGUGUUGAUUGAUGAAUUUAAGUGGUUUAAACUUUGAUUUUGGAUAAUACUUAAGAUAUAAAUUGUAUCUAUGUUAAUGAAUGUUUUUACAUGAUAGUUAUAAGGAUAUAAAUAGCUUUCUAAUAGCCUGAAAUCCGAUUGGUAACAUGCCAAUAAAAUAGAAAUCGAAAACUGUCGCAAUGGAAAACUGUCUGAUUUUAGUGUUGUGGAUAUGGACUAUUUUGUGGCUGAGAACACUUUACUUGUCACGACAUUAGAGAAUUAUUACCUUUAUAUACAUGUUAUAGAAAUGUGGUAAAUGUUUCAGAGUCAUUGGAUAUAGAUAAUGGGGUGAAAAGGGAUUGGAAAAAUAAUUGGACGGUAAGGGAAAUCUGAAAACAGAUUCUGUCCAAUUUUGUGUUUAAUAUGAUUUCAGCCUUUACAUGCACAUUAAUCAUCUCUUGGGCCUAGAAAAUAGAUUCUAACGGUACUAGGUUGUCAACAAAAAUUGGAUGAUGUUGACAUUCAUAAUUUGACUCGAGUAAUAGCGAGAUUUAUGGGAUAAGUUUGUAAUGCCAUUGGUAACUUGAAAUGAUGAUUCCGUCUAAAUUAUUUUGGUGAGAAUGGAUGUAUUUUGGGAUUUUGUGCGUUAAGGUUACUAAAUUAAGGAUUCUCUUUAAUAUUAAAUGGUAAUACAUGUGAUUUUUUGACGUUGAGUGAAAAAGGAAAGUGAUAUAAUCUCCGUAGGAGCUUGUGCACACACAAGGACAAAAAGGUAAGUAAAAAUCCAUUUGCAACUAUGAUGCAAGAACCUAGCAUUUGUGGUAUAGUGAUGUUAGGAUAUUUUCAUACUUUGAUAAGAAAGCUCGUUGUACCCUAUAUGAUGAUUAUGAUCAUUGAGUAUGCGGUUGCAAAAUACAUUGACAUCAACUUCCGUUAAGCAUGUCAUUCAUGAGCAUUUUCGUUGGCAUGCACAACGUAUGAUCAUGGUUGAAAAUCUUGCAUGGAAAACAUGAUUUCAAAGUGAGUUUCAUUAUAAAUGUUUCAUUGACCACUACUAGGGUACCGAGGCAUGUGAGGCAUGCUUAUGUGAUAUGUUUGGCAUUGCGGGUGUUACUUCCCGGGUGACUGCAAAGGUAUACAGAGGAUGGGCCUUUGGUGAUCACGGGAGGACGGAUCACUCGACUGUGCCCUUGUGAUAUUAUGAUUAUUGGCGCUGCUGGGUGGGAGACUUCUUGGGUGAUCAUAGGGGUAGUCAGGGCAUGGACCUCUAGUGGUCACGAGAGGAUGGUCCACUCGCCGGUGUCGAUUUCAUAUUGGCCACUUGAUUAUUGAUAUUGAUAUUAUGCAGAGCUCUAUCCGGUGCAUAGUUGGUGGGUUAAGGGCCCAAUGAAAUGAAAGAUUUCAAAUGAAAUAAUUUCGAGUCGACUUUGAUUAAUAUUGGAAUAUGAUGCAUCUUUAGCAUGAUGUUUAAAGUAAAUGACAUGGUGUCACAUAUCCUUGUUACUCAUACUCAUGACAUGCAUGAUUCUUGCUUACUAAGCAUUGGCUUAUGUAGUUCUUAUAUUGUAGGUGAGCAUGGAACUAUGUAGAGGGCACGGCUAGCUGUGGAGCUCUUACGGGAUUCCAAAUAUCAAUGUACAUGGAUGACGACCUGUAGGGUUAUUUAUUGGGCUAUUGUUUUGAGUUUACACUCUAUUGUGUCGUAUUUUGGGGGUCCUGUCUUGUAUAACUUUUGAAAUGGCCUAUAGAUGUGUUUAUAACCUUUGAACAUACGUGUUGGGUUAUGGUUAUAUGAUCGUUGAUUUUGAUAUAAUAUAUGAUCAUCA